UAUUCAAAAUUAUUUCAGAACUGACUGUUUGAAAUGCUCUGGAAAGUUGUUGGAUUAUUGCUAGGGAGACAUUUUCCUGUUACAGGGGAAGUGAUAUCAGGUGACUGCUUUAGUAUGAUAUACAUACAACAACUAGCUACAAAGCAGUAGUAAUGGUCUACACCAAGGACAUAAACUGCAUGUUGCAGACCUAAAUGUAAGGUGCUUGAAGAUGAAAGUGAACUCGAGACCUGCAUGGUAUUUCCAUGAAACUUGUAUACCUGCUCCUAUGAAGGAGGUUGUCAGCUUUUUCAGUUUUAUGUUUUCACAAGAUCAGCAUAUUAAAAAAAUAGGUGCCAGGAGAAUAAAUCAUAUUAAAGAUAUUUUCCUCCAUGACUUAUAACAGGAUUCUGGGGAAGUUAGAAAUAGUCAUAUUAUUUUAUGAGGUCAUAGAGUGCUGAUGCCUACAGAAAAUUUAAAAAGUGAAUUUGUUAAUUAAACAUGAUUAUUACUAUCUUCAGAAAAGAAACAUUACUUUGUGAUUAUUUUAUUAUUUACUAUUUAGCAGUUCAAGAAAAUUCCAUUUAGCAAUAUGCAAUUGCUAAAAAGUUAUUUGCAAAAAAAUGAACUAAACUGAAUAAACACAAAUGACACUUCUGUCUUUAACAGACAGCCUGAAGAGUGCAGAGUGAAGGAAACUUCCUAUCCCCAAAUUGGUUACACAGAUAUAUUGGUAAAGUCUCAAAAGCAGAUGAGAAAUAAAAUUGACAUUGGAAAGAAACCAAAGGAUGACAUCAUUGGCUUAAUGUUUCCAAUAUCCAGUCUAAGUUGGAAAUGGUAAAAAGAAUUAUAGAAACACAAAAGAAAAAGUGGUCGUAAGAAAAAUAAAUAAAUAAUUAAGAAGAAGUUUCCUGAAUUUGAAAUGCUUUAACUUCAUAUGCUGUUAGUUUUGUUUAUGACUUUCUGAAAUCAGAGAAAAUAAAGGAAGUCUUGUGCCUGUGCCUUAUUCUUCUUCAUUUCGAUGUUCUUAUGCCUCUGUAUACAGGAAUUCAUUAUUGCUAGGUUCCACAGUUCCUUUAAAAGAUUGAGCUAGACAAUGCAUCUACUAAUUAAAAAAAAAAAAUCAGUUUACAAAAAUAAUUAGUUUUAAAUGAAUACUAUGCUUUUGUGUCUUUUCAUGACAUUCAUCAAAGCUGCAUAUAAAAGUUUAUGUUACGAACUAACUAUUCUCUGUCCUGUGAUUAAAGGGCACAUGAUGACCUCACGAACCACCCUUUAGACUUCCAGCGCUUCUGGCUUUAAUAUUCUGUGCUAGAUUCACAGAGAUCUUCUACAGAUGCUAAGCGUUCAAUCCUGAAGGCUCCACUUCAUCAUCAGGAAGAGUAUGUAAAACUCUGAAUUUCAAAGCUGUGCUACUCUAAAAUUCCUUUUCCAUGAAUACUCAGUUCACUCAUGUCCUGCCAAUUUAGAUAUGACUAAAAUUAUCAACAGAGAGAUCAAGAGUGCAUUUCCCUGCUACAUGUUCAGCACUGCAGCAGCAGAACAGAAAAAACGCAGCAUCGCACAGAAGUGACUUCUACCGACAGCCCAGUACCUGAGGAGGAUUAGAAGUAGUACACAAGAUCCAGAGAUUAUUCCUGGUGAAAUUAUAACAGUGUUAACAGAGAUCAAAUAUAAUUUAUUUUGUCUCAUUUUCUGAGAAUGAAAUCUGUUGCUGCGGCUGUUUGUCUCUCCUCUGCCACUCUCUUUGAUCUACUUUGUUUUCUCAUACAAAUAUUGUAUGUAAUUAUGACAGUUAUGCCAACCUUUAAAAUAAAAUCACUUUUGCUUUGUGGAGGGUUACAUACUAGUGCUACCAGACUUCUCAUAAACCCUGAAUAAAAUGCUCUGACAUUCUAACAGAUGAAAAAAUAAUUAUCUAGAACUUAUUUCAGAACUUGCUAAUUAAGAUUAUGAACUGCUUCCAUUAAAAAUUCCAGUUUAGCUUUCAUUCUUUUAAAGAAUGAAAUGAUCUGUUUUUUAAUCAUCAGGAUGAAAAAUCUUUUUUGUUUAAUUCACAAACUUUUGUUUGCUGGAAGUUGCUGGGAAGGAAGUUGGUGCAAAAGACAAGUAUCUUAUCUCCUUUUUCAAAAGAGAUUUAAAAGUGAGUAAAUAAUAACAAAAAUUAAAAAGGUUUUCCACUGGAGACAGCCUUCAAUGAACACUAGUUAAGUCCAUCACUCACUAAAACUUGAAGACUUAUAAUGACAUAUUUGGAAGAUUUUUCAUGUUGCUUUUAGUAUAUAUUAGAUAAUGUAGAAACUGAAAAGUUUCUGUUCCUAUAUCUCUCUUUAGUAUGAACUCAUACUGAGAUUUAGUUUUUCACAUUCUGCUGCAAUCAGCCCUGGUUGCUUCAUUGCCUUCAUCUUGGGUAGCCACCAAUGUUAACACAAAAGGACGCAGUGUGCCACCAUUAUGACCCCACUGAAGGAAAUAUACAUAAAUUCGGGUGAUUAUAGAAAAGUGAAGAAAAAUAGGGACUCAGAUAUUUUGGUAACAUACAAUGAACUCUAACAGAAAAUAUAAAGAGGGAGGAUGAGACUGAGGUUUUCACACACACCAGUGAAUUCUUAACCAACUUGAAUGCUAAAAACUGUUGCUUUAUUUAUAAGAAAGAAGUUACUUAAUGAAGUGAAAUCAUUCUUCUUCCAAGUUCAUAGUAUUAUGGUUUAAAAGUUCUGUAAAGGAUAGGGGGCUUUAAGAAAAACACUCCUUCUGGCACUGAUUGGGAUUCAACACCACAUUUCACGAGUCAGACUAAAAAACCCCUGCAAUUUGACUGGAUGCUACUGACAUCUUAUGAAAGAUCCCUGCGAGUUAUCAUCACUACAAUGUCUGCCAAUGCUUUUUUUUGCUGUGUAUUGCUGUAUGGUAUUGCACUGUAGAAUUAAUUCUAAAUAAUUUUGCAUUGUUUUUCUUGCCUGGCCUAGGAGCCCUAUCCAUGGUUCUCCAAAAACUUAUCAGCAAUUAAUAAAUUCUUCCCCUCUAUUCU
Molecule: long non-coding RNA, 3010 nt
Organism: Pezoporus occidentalis (night parrot)
Lineage: Eukaryota; Metazoa; Chordata; Aves; Psittaciformes; Psittacidae
Exons: 3
Source: RefSeq, a predicted model, not a curated record